Molecule: ribosomal RNA, 253 nt
Filed under: uncultured bacterium
Lineage: Bacteria
Description: partial 16S ribosomal RNA
Rfam family: Bacterial small subunit ribosomal RNA
Source: RNAcentral
UACGUAGGGGGCUAGCGUUGUCCGGAAUCAUUGGGCGUAAAGAGCGUGUAGGCGGCCCGGUAAGUCCGCUGUGAAAGUCGGGGGCUCAACCCUCGGAUGCCGGUGGAUACUGUCGGGCUCGAGUACGGAAGAGGCGAGUGGAAUUCCAGGUGUAGCGGUGAAAUGCGUAGAUAUCUGGAGGAACACCGGUGGCGAAGGCGGCAUCCUGGACCAUUACUGACGCUGAGGAGCGAAAGCCAGGGGAGCAAACGGG